Molecule: ribosomal RNA, 392 nt
Filed under: uncultured bacterium
Lineage: Bacteria
Description: bacterial SSU rRNA
Rfam family: Bacterial small subunit ribosomal RNA
Source: RNAcentral
AACGAACGCUGGCGGCGUGCUUAACACAUGCAAGUCGAGCGGUAAGGCCCUUUCGGGGGUACACGAGCGGCGAACGGGUGAGUAACACGUGGGUGACCUGCCCUCAGCUCUGGGAUAAGCCUGGGAAACCGGGUCUAAUACUGGAUAUGACUCCAUGACGCAUGUUGUGGGGUGGAAAGCCUUGUGCGGCUGAGGAUGGGCCCGCGGCCUAUCAGCUUGUUGGUGGGGUGANGGCCUACCAAGGCGACGACGGGUAGCCGGCCUGAGAGGGCGACCGGCCACACUGGGACUGAGACACGGCCCAGACUCCUACGGGAGGCAGCAGUGGGGAAUCUUGCGCAAUGGGCGAAAGCCUGACGCAGCGACGCCGCGUGAGGGAUGACGGCCUGGUU